GGAACUGUCAAACCUGGAGGAAGUUUCAUGUAAACUUCCUCAUCCAAAUCACCAUGGAGAAAAGCAUUAUUGACAUCAAGCUGAAAUAGAGGCCAGUAAUUCUUGACAGCCAUAACAAUCAAGCAUUUCACAGUAGUUAUCUUAAUCACUAGAGAAAAGGUGUCAGUAAAAUCAAUCCCCUCAACUUGUGUAUCACCCAUAAUAACCAACCUUGCUUUAUACCUUUCAACAAAACCAUCAGACUUGUAUUUGAUUUUAUAAACCCACUUACAACGAAUGGGUUUCUUACCAGCAGGAAGAGGAACAAUAUCCCAAGUAUGGUUAGCCUCCAAAGCAGCAAACUCCUGUCUCAUUGCAUCCUGCCAUGCUGGGACAGAUGCAGCUUGAGAGUAAUACAUAGGUUCAGAUUCCAAAGUGGAGGAAGANNNNNNNNNNNNNNNNNNNCCAAAGUGGAGGAAGAAGAACCAGAAAAUGCAGGGAGUUGACAGACAUAAUCCUUAAGGUAGGAAGGAGGAUUAUGCUGUCUAGUGGACUUUCUAGAAGUGGGAAGAGGAUGGGAAGGAGGUAACACAGGAGCAGAGAGAUCAGGAUUGAAAGAAGGAAUGGAAGAUGGACCAGUAUCAGGAAAAUCAGGUGCAGGAGAAUCAGAAUUGGAAGGAAGAACAAGAGAAUCAGGGGAAGUAAAUAUAGGAAAGUCUGAGGCAGUGAAGCCAUCAGCAGGAGUAAUAGAAGGAACAUAUGAAGAAGAAGGGUGAACAGAAGUAGGAUUAUUCUUAAAAGGAAAAUAAGAUUCAUGGAAGACAACAUCCCUUGAAACAAAACACUUCUUGGUAACCAAGUUAUACAGUUUAUAACCCUUCUUGGCAAAGGGGUAACCCAGAAACACACAGGAAUGGGCUCUAGGUUUCAGCUUGUCCCUUUGAGAGAUAGGGACAGCAGCAUAAGCAAGGCAUCCAAAUGC
RNAcentral lists this long non-coding RNA (961 nucleotides) under Nicotiana benthamiana. RNAcentral describes it as "long non-coding RNA (NBEN_LNC013322)". The record is from RNAcentral. Lineage: Eukaryota; Viridiplantae; Streptophyta; Magnoliopsida; Solanales; Solanaceae.